This is a long non-coding RNA of Suricata suricatta (meerkat), 601 nucleotides long. RefSeq lists it as uncharacterized. The record is from RefSeq and is a predicted model, not a curated record. Lineage: Eukaryota; Metazoa; Chordata; Mammalia; Carnivora; Herpestidae. The transcript is spliced from 5 exons.
CAGGGACCGUGUGUCCUGCCACUGACAGUCCAGGAGCGCUUGGAGGAGGCAUGUACAGCCAGCUGUGCCCAUGCGCCCCCCACCCCGCCCAGGAACUGGCUCCUGCGGACGCCCCCUCAGAUCACCGUCACGGCUCCUCGGACGCAGGUAUGGCAAGAAACAGGGCUGCAGAUUUUGUGGCCAGAAGUGUGAAUGAGGGACAACAAAAUGACAUCAGCCUCAGACGGGAUCAGGUGCCCCAGGAGCCAUCUGCAUUGUCACCAGCUGUUUCGGGGGCAGGAAGCAAGUUCCCGCAUAGAGCUGGGUUAUUCCGGGUCCUUCUGAAUCAGGUGCUGCGGGCAGUGCUGGGACAGGAAGGCCACACGAGCCGCUCCGCCGGCUCCACAUGGUGAUCCUGGCCGCUCACAAAGCCAUGCUCCAGGAAGGAGCCAGAACACGGGUCUGCAGCCUUGCGGCCACGGGCAGCUCCCGGAGCCCCCGUCCCCAGAGGAGGGCAGCAUCCUCACCAGGGUGGUUGAGAAUCAAGGAAGACGGAGCAGGCGCCCCCGGGCACCCCCCUCUCCGAGCCCAUCAGUCUGGAGACCAGCCUGUUGCAGAAGAC